Molecule: ribosomal RNA, 451 nt
Filed under: uncultured bacterium
Lineage: Bacteria
Description: bacterial SSU rRNA
Rfam family: Bacterial small subunit ribosomal RNA
Source: RNAcentral
AGAGUUUGAUCCUGGCUCAGAUUGAACGCUGGCGGCAUGCUUUACACAUGCAAGUCGAACGGCAGCACGGGCUUCGGCCUGGUGGCGAGUGGCGAACGGGUGAGUAAUGCGUCGGAACGCGCCGAGUAGUGGGGGAUAACGCAGCGAAAGCUGUGCUAAUAUCGCAUACGUACUGAGGUAGAAAGUGGGGGACCUUCGGGCCUCACGCUAUUCGAGCGGCCGACGUCUGAUUAGCUAGUUGGUGGGGUAAAGGCUCACCAAGGCGACGAUCAGUAGCGGGUCUGAGAGGAUGAUCCGCCACACUGGGACUGAGACACGGCCCAGACUCCUACGGGAGGCAGCAGUGGGGAAUUUUGGACAAUGGGCGCAAGCCUGAUCCAGUCAUGCCGCGUGUCUGAAGAAGGCCUUCGGGUUGUAAAGGACUUUUGUCCGGGAGCAAAGCCUACUUGUU